CCUACGGGACGCACCAGUGGGGAAUAUUGCACAAUGGGCGAAAGCCUGAUGCAGCGACGCCGCGUGAGGGAUGACGGCCUUCGGGUUGUAAACCUCUUUCAGCAGGGAAGAAGCGCAAGUGACGGUACCUGCAGAAGAAGCACCGGCUAACUACGUGCCAGCAGCCGCGGUAAUACGUAGGGUGCGAGCGUUGUCCGGAAUUAUUGGGCGUAAAGAGCUUGUAGGCGGUUUGUCGCGUCUGCUGUGAAAAUCCGGGGCUCAACCCCGGACUUGCAGUGGGUACGGGCAGACUAGAGUGUGGUAGGGGAGACUGGAAUUCCUGGUGUAGCGGUGAAAUGCGCAGAUAUCAGGAGGAACACCGAUGGCGAAGGCAGGUCUCUGGGCCACUACUGACGCUGAGAAGCGAAAGCAUGGGGAGCGAACAGGAUUAGAUACCCGGGUAGUC
This 445-nucleotide ribosomal RNA is filed under the name uncultured bacterium. RNAcentral describes it as "bacterial SSU rRNA". It matches the Rfam family "Bacterial small subunit ribosomal RNA", at positions 338 to 795 of the family's 1533-position model. The record is from RNAcentral.